ACAUCACAGUUCAGUUCUUGUCAUUUCAUCUCUGCCGUUCAAAUCCAUCGUGUUCUCCGCCCACCUUCGAAUCCAUAGAUUUCGCCGUUGCCAUCGGUUUUUACUUUUAGGGCUUCCUUUAGGUUUCUGAUUUAUUUAUUCGAUGUCUUUAGAUCCGGUGGACAGGAGGAUCGGACGGCUUAAUCUCGCCCUACCAUCGAAAUCCCAGUUCCUAGUUCAGCGUUUGCACUUGUCCUUUGUUCAUCAUUAGCUUUUAGUUCACUUCAGGCUAUGGAUCUGAGGACUCCGAUGAGUUCUCUCUAAUUGGAAAUAUUUUUGUUUUCAUUCUGUUGGUUAUUCAUUUCUUGUUUUUUUAUUUUGAUUUCACCUUUAUUGACUGGGUCGUGUGGUAACCGCAAGUUUUAUCGAGUUUUAUGCUGUUUACAAGGCUUUUGUGGAACUGUGGGGAUUUACGCUGUUUCUAUUUCAAGAUGGUGUUUUUUUGGAUGAAUUUCAUGCUUUUGAAUUUAAAUGUUAAAUUUAUCAGUUAGCAUAAAAUUCUUUAAUUUAGCUUGUUUCUUAAAGUUUUCAUCUUGUACUUGUAGGUUGGACUGUUUUCUCAUAAAUGAUCUAAAUGAUUGAUUCUAAUUUAUACCACUGUGAACUCUAUGUUUGUUUUGAUUGCUUUAGUAUCUUGAUUAUUGUUAUUAGUGGUUGUCUUUCUUACCCUGUUCAUCAGAAUCGAACCUGCCCAAUGAUGAAAAGCUCAUUUCUGGAGCUGUUAAGUUGAUUCAUAUCACAAGCAUUUGCCCUCAACCACAACUUUUUCUCUCUCUCUCUCUCUCUCUCUCUCUCACCCAAUCUCCAUCAACCUAUCUGUCUCUUCCUUUCGCUUUUGCCUUUUGUUUAAUUAUUAUAGUGGUUGCUGUUGUGUGGAGGCUAGUGAUGAAAAUCAAAUUUCGGCUGAGGGCAUCUUGCAUUUUGUCUUUGCUCUUAGAGACGAGCUUAAUUUUUUUCCCUGAUUUUUCCCAAUUUGCACGAUUACCUUGGAUUGACUAUUUAUUGUAAAUAAUGUCCCACUGUACUUAUUGUAUUCUUAGUUGCUUUUCAGGAUGGUUGCUUGAUCUAGACGCUGUGAAAUCUUGAAACAUUGAACUAAAGCCAAAUAACGGCUGCAAAGGUGUGCCUCGCUUCACUCAGGCCUCGCUUUUUUAUCGCCUCUCGCCUUGAGGAGCGCCUUGUGCCUUGAAAACACUGGUUUUUAGUGUUGCAGAAAUUCAUGCCGAUGCAUUUGCAUUAUGUCGAUGUUUAAGGGUGGCGAAUGAAAAGUAAAUAUCGUCUGAUAAAGAAUCAAUCUUUUGGGGUUUUGGACUGAGCAUGGAGAAACAGAAGAAUAGAGUGGUUGAAGAUGAGUAGAGGCUAGUGUGAGAAUCAAAUGCAAACACAGUCAAUGAAGAACUGAGCUAUGAGAUCUGAGGGCAUUGUUUGAAACUGUCAUCAUUUUUAAUGAUGGUGCACGUGAAUUGUGAUACUUUUUUCACCUACAAUUAAUUAAUUUAUCGUUGGAUUAAAUGCAUUACUAUUAUCCUAGUUAUGGUUUUAGUUGUUUUCCUAUUUCUCUCCCGGAUAUGGUAAAGCUGCUACGUAUUUAUUAGUUUCUGCCUAACAUUAAUGUGAAUUGUAUAGUGACCAUUUGACAGGUAUGAAUGAACGUCCCAAUACUGUGUUAUAUACCGUUUGGAGCCCUUGCGUGUAUCGGCGUCGUCUUCUUUGCUCAAGUCUUUGAUGUUUGGUUGGUAUUUAUUCAUGGAAUUUGGUAAGCUUAAUUUUGCCCAAUGAUGGAAACACAAUCUAUUGAGCUGUUGUAAAUGGCCUUUUUUUCAUCAUUAGCCUGUGCUCACCUACACUACCAUCAUCACUACCAACUCCGCCAUCCGCUAUCACCGCUGCCACCAUCUUUUUCUUUUCUUUUAUUUCAUAUACAUACAUAUAUAUACACACAUCGUUGUUGGUGUUGGCAUGGGCUUCUGAUGAACGCCAUUUACGUCAAGCGUGAUUGAUUGAAUUUAAGCUAUGAGAUCUGAGGGCUUUAUUUUAUGACUUUUCCAAAUGGAGCUUGAUUCUAGUCUAGACUUUGGCAUGCGUGCAUUUGGUUGUUCCCCUUCUGCAGUUUCUGCGUGUCUGGUGCUUGGAGAGGGUAACAUUAUGUUGCGCUUCAUCCAAAAUAUGGCCUUAGGUGGCCUUUAUAUUGAUUUUUUUUUUCUUUUUCAUGUUUCUGUUAUAUAUUAAAUUUUUUUGCUGAUUGUUAGAUUUUAGGUAAUGUUGUAUAAUAUGAUGAAAUACUGGCCUUGGAGCGGUUGGCCACUAUUAAAUCUUUAUAGAAAUGCAGCCUAGGAAGCUUAUACUCCGACCCAUUUGAAUUCAUUUUGUCAUAAAGUUAGAUUUUAUAAUUUUGGACUAUCUAUGAACUUAAUUUCUUGCUUUUUUAUUGUUUGGUUCUGUAACAUUUUAUAUUAUUGUAUUUCCUUAUUAGUUGCACUGUAUAUUGGCCAUGGUAUUUCGCCUGCGAUUCUUUAGCUGAAUUAACAUCUACAUGAUCAAACUUCUAGGUCUGUUUCCUCAUAGACGAGUUUAAUAGUUUAUAAUGCCUAUAAUCUUGAACUUUACUUCGACUGCUUUCGGAUCUUGAUGUUUCUUGCCAAGUGCUGAUGCUGCUGCAGAAGUUCAUGCUGAUGCAUUUGAAUUUGUUUCUGUGGCAAUGUUUAAGAUGUAUCGAGGCGGUGGCAAAUCUAAAGAACAUUGUCUGAUAAAAAAUCUAUCUUUGGGGUAUGGAAGGUACCAACCAAAAAUGUUCCGAUGGGGUAACUUUUGCCGCAUAUUUGGUCUCGUGAAGGUAAUAGUUGGAGUGUUGAGUGGAUUUGGGGCAAGCCCUACUUUGAUAAUUAAUCAUCUUUCAAAAUGCUAAAAUCAGAAUUCUUGAA
This is a long non-coding RNA of Momordica charantia (bitter melon), 2960 nucleotides long. RefSeq lists it as uncharacterized. NCBI's taxonomy places the organism in Eukaryota, Viridiplantae, Streptophyta, Magnoliopsida, Cucurbitales, Cucurbitaceae. The record is from RefSeq and is a predicted model, not a curated record.